Molecule: ribosomal RNA, 1245 nt
Filed under: Triticum aestivum (bread wheat)
Lineage: Eukaryota; Viridiplantae; Streptophyta; Magnoliopsida; Poales; Poaceae
Description: partial small subunit ribosomal RNA
Source: RNAcentral
AUGCCAAACUUCAAGAAAGUUGUUGUUGAUGCAUGGAACGAAAGGGUGAGCCACCAUGACCCAUGCCAAAUUCUUUUCCACAAGUUGAAGACAGCUAGUCAGAGAUUGAGGUGCUGGCGUAGGAAGCUCUUCUCUCACCAUAAAGUCCAACUCCACAUGGCUCUCGAGGUCAUCCUGUGCUUGGACAUGGCACAAGAAAUUCGGGCCUUGAGCAACGACGAGCAAGAUAUAAGGAAACAGCUCAAGCGGAAGGUUGUCGCUCUGGCUGUCCUAGAGCGAGCUAGAAAAAAGCAAUCCUCAAGGAUAACCUUGCUUAAAGAGGGGGAUGCCAAUAUGCGUUUUUUCCAUCUUCGAAUCCAUCGGCGGAGACGGAAAAACUUUAUCCAUCGUCUCCGGCACAACCAAGGAUGGGUUACCAAUCGUGACGACAAGAAAGCCAUUGUCCAUGAGCACUUCUUCAUGGUCAUUCAUAAGGGGGCGGCAUGGUCAAAAGAUUUCAACUGGGAGGCCAUUCCAACCCAGCCAUGUGACCUUGCGGAUGUGGACCUACCAUUCACUGAAGAGGAAACUAAAGCGGCUAUUUUCUCCCUACCAAGUAGACUGAUCCGUGUGUCCUUGUACGCCGAUGAUGAUGCCAUCUUCGUUGCACCCACUAAAAGUGAUAUUCAAUUCUUGGCAUCGACAUUGGCCUCUUUUGGGGAGGUCACCGGCUUGGUCACCAAUUGUGCAAAGAGUCUCGUUGCGCCUAUCCGUUGUGAGGGCAUCGAUCUUCAGGAUGUUCUACAUGACUUUCCAGCAGUUCGCUCCAGCUUCCCAGACAGAGACAUUUUCGCGGCUGCCACCAUGGUUCACAUCGGAGACGGUUGCAGCGCGAGCUUCUGGAACUCCUCUUGGCUGGAUGGGAUCAGGCCUAAAGACAUUGCACCCGCUCUCUACGACAUCUCUAAGAAAAAGACGUGCACAGUCCAAAAGGCACUCCUGAACAAUUUUUGGGUCAGCCAAAUAAACACCCAGCACGGCCUAUCCUUGGGGCACAUCCAGGAGUUCGCCCUCCUUUGGGAAAGGGUGUCUAGGAUCAACCUUGUUGCGGGUGUCCGUGAUACUAUCCUAUGGAAGCUCAGUACAAGUGGCGAGUAUUCCGCUUCUUCGGCCUACAUGGCGCAGUUCGAGGGCCAUCUCAGGAGCAACAUGAACAUGAUAAAGGAGGAGGCUCGUAUUUGGGCGCUAGACAGCUGUGUAAUGUAA